AAGAGUGACUUCUGGGAAUAUCUA
Molecule: non-coding RNA, 24 nt
Filed under: Arabidopsis thaliana (thale cress)
Lineage: Eukaryota; Viridiplantae; Streptophyta; Magnoliopsida; Brassicales; Brassicaceae
Source: RNAcentral